AUUAGUAUUUAUGUUCGGUAGGAUUUGAUUUUUAAAGAAUUUUACAACUGACGAUCAGCCUCUAUUCGCCAGCGAGAUAUUUUAAAAGCUAUCCCAAUUCCUUGGCGCAAAGCAAAGAAAAUCUGAAGAAAAAUGGACGUCCAAAUCGAAAUGCAGGAAAUGGGAGUAAAUCAACCAAAUGAUCCCAACACCCCUCGAGUUAUCCGUCCAGAUAUUGUGCCUCUUGAGACUGCACCAGACGUUAUUCCUCAUGAAAGGAUACGACGCUAUUGGUAUCAGACAUCCUGUUGUAUUGUCAUUAUCGUAAUAAUAGUAAUUAUUUUACUGUUUUUAUUUUGGCUGUGGACGAACAGAGUGCUUCUCAAACUUGAUGCAUCAGCAACAAUCGAUACUGUGUCUAAUCGAACCAUAUCGAAUAAACAUGGUGAAGGCGGAAUUCAUUUUUAAUUCAUUUCAGAAACUGAUAUCACUAAAAUAUGCUGGUACUAAGUAAUAUUCAUUUUUAUAUUUGUGGAGUAUUUUUAAAACCAGUCUUGCCUGUGAUUUUAUACUGAUUUUAAAACUAUUAAAAUCUUAUUUUUGUUCUGUU
Long non-coding RNA from Argiope bruennichi, 589 nucleotides. RefSeq lists it as uncharacterized. Lineage: Eukaryota; Metazoa; Arthropoda; Arachnida; Araneae; Araneidae. The record is from RefSeq and is a predicted model, not a curated record. The transcript has 3 exons.